This is a long non-coding RNA of Manis javanica (Malayan pangolin), 590 nucleotides long. RefSeq lists it as uncharacterized. The record is from RefSeq and is a predicted model, not a curated record. NCBI's taxonomy places the organism in Eukaryota, Metazoa, Chordata, Mammalia, Pholidota, Manidae.
UGCAGUAGGAAGGAAGCCCACAGGAGAGCUCUCUGAUUUGAGUGGCUUCUCCAGCAGUGGCUGUAUCUCCCCUUUGGCCCAGCUCCACGGGACAGGUCUGCUGCGGUGUCCCCUACUGUCUGGUGACCCUGACUCUGGGCUCUGGAAACCCCCUGCCUCCCUUUGUCUCUCUCAGCUAUUGUUAAUCUCUGGGUGGCUUCACUAUCUUUUGUUUGGCUUCCAGCUCUUCUGUCAUCCAACCAAUUCCCUGAAUUGAUUUCUCUUUGAAAAGAAAAUAGAGUGGUUUCCUAUUUGGACCCCGACUGUUAGAAAAAAACAGUUGGGAGGAAAUCAAGUAUAUUUAAAUACUUUCAAAUGAAACAGCCAUGGUUGAAGCAGGGGCCAAGUGGCAUUGUCAGCUGGGAAGCAACCAGAGUUCCUGCCCCAUGUCCAUAGCUGCCAUUUCUGGGGCAUUUUAGGAGACAAGAUGUGUGAACAUCAUCACUUUUCUAAGGAAUUUGUAGGAGUCAUAUCUGCAAGGAAGUCUGAGGGUCUCCAUAUCCACUCCUGCUCCCUUCCUGUUAUCCUCCCCCGAGUAAAUCGUUUGCAUG